This 400-nucleotide long non-coding RNA is filed under the name Homo sapiens (human). Its description in RNAcentral is "non-protein coding lnc-GPR89B-6:2". The record is from RNAcentral. Lineage: Eukaryota; Metazoa; Chordata; Mammalia; Primates; Hominidae.
GUUUUCUCCUGCUCUUCAGAGCACCUGGGAUAAGGUUCCUGAUGGGUCUUGGGAGCAAACUAACAUGUCGCUCCAGGCGCUCAAGACCAUCCCUCUGAUUUUCAUAUUUUGGGGCUGAGAGCGUUUAAGAAGGACUGAAAAACGCUGCAGUCUUUGAGGGGCUAAGUUUGGAGGAUGCGGGAGUGGGAGAGGAUGCCUUCUUGGCUCCUUGGAGUGGACUGGCAGAGGAAAGGUGCAUCCUGGAGUCUGAAGACACAGGGACACAGAGAAGAGCCUGAACACAGAGGCCUGGCCCCGUUUUCCCCAGUUUGUUACUGUUAGAUCAUACUUUUAUUGUCUUAUCAUACUUCUCCAUGACUAUCCAUUCUUCAAUAAAACUACUCUUAAAAAACAAACAAAC